GAUGAACGCUGGCGGCGUGCCUAAUACAUGCAAGUAGAACGCUGAAGGAGGAGCUUGCUCUUCUGGAUGAGUUGCGAACGGGUGAGUAACGCGUAGGUAACCUGCCUGGUAGCGGGGGAUAACUAUUGGAAACGAUAGCUAAUACCGCAUGACAACAGUUAUUGCAUGAUAACUGUUUAAAAGGGGCAACUGCUCCACUACCAGAUGGACCUGCGUUGUAUUAGCUAGUUGGUGAGGUAACGGCUCACCAAGGCGACGAUACAUAGCCGACCUGGGAGGGUGAUCGGCCACACUGGGACUGAGACACGGCCCAGACUCCUACGGGAGGCAGCAGUAGGGAAUCUUCGGCAAUGGACGGAAGUCUGACCGAGCAACGCCGCGUGAGUGAAGAAGGUUUUCGGAUCGUAAAGCUCUGUUGUAAGAGAAGAACGAGUGUGAGAGUGGAAAGUUCACACUGUGACGGUAGCUUACCAGAAAGGGACGGCUAGCUACGUG
RNAcentral lists this ribosomal RNA (495 nucleotides) under uncultured bacterium. Its description in RNAcentral is "partial 16S ribosomal RNA". It matches the Rfam family "Bacterial small subunit ribosomal RNA", at positions 28 to 507 of the family's 1533-position model. The record is from RNAcentral.